UCCAAAUAACUAUUUCUAUCAUGGGACAUCAUUUUUUUAGCAAAUUUUCCCUUAUCAUCAACAUACACCCAAUAAAUCCAACAUAUCCCAUCCUACUGUCCCUCCCAAUCUAGAUUAUAUUCAUGACCCUAUUGAAUACCCAACCCCUUUUCCUUUCAAUCAUCAAUAUGACAUAACAUCUCCCUUAUCUUAAGCACCUGCACAUUCCAUCAAUCCUUCUCCCAACUCCCAAAAUAAACCCUUAAUCAUAACCCCUCUCACUGCCACAUCCACUUCCCCUCCAGCCCCUAACCCAUCACCCCACUCCUGUUGUCGUCCUCUCACCAACAUCCCUACUGUUCAAAAUUCGUCACACACAUCCAAACCGCCUUCAUAUAUUCAAGAUUUUCAUUAUGGAUUGUUAAUAGGUACCAACUCACCUCCCAUUCAACAUUCUCCAGGUAAUAAUCUCCAUGAGAUCAAUCACACUAAACAUAUGCUUAACAUUGUUUUAAGCAUUAAAGAUCAAGGAAAUUUAAAGUAUUUUUUAGGUUUCGUAGUUGCAAGAUCUACUCAAGGAAUUUCACUUUGUCAAUGCAAAUACAAUCUCGAUCUUCUUCAUGAAACAUGAUUGUUAGCUACAAAGCCAGCCUCGACACCAAUGGAUCCAAGCCAUAACUAAAACAACGACAAUUCACCUCCAUUUUCCGACCCGACUCAAUACUUUUUGUGUGCAGACUAAGCCAACAUAUGGAAUCUCCCACCAAAAUUCAUUUACAAGUUGCUUUCCACAUCCUCCAUUAUAUCAAACAUUCUUCAGCCCUUAGUCUAUUCUUCAACAGUAACACAAAUUCUACACUCACGGGUUUCUCCGACUCUGACUGAGGUUCAUGUCCAAUCACUCGCUGCUCUACUACAUGAUUCUGUUUUUUUAUGGGAACGUCCUUAAUUUCAUGGAUAUGUAAGAAGCAACACAUAUUAUCGCGCUCUUCAUCUGAGAGGGAAUACCGCGCUUUAGCCAACACUACUUGUGAGGCUAUGUGACUUCAAUACUUGAUGAAAAAUUUCAACAUCUCCAACCAUAAACCCAUCACUAUAUAUUGUGAUAAUAGGAGUGCCACACAAAUUGCCACUAAUCCCGUCUUUCACGAAUGUACAAAACACAUUGAAAUUGAUUGUCAUGUCAUUCGCGACAAAUGUUGACAACACUAUUCAUCUCAUGCCUAUCAAUUCUACAAAUCAUGACGCCGAUAUAUUCACGAAGUCUCUACACUUGGGUCCAUUCUGUAACCUUGUUGCCAAACUAGGAUUACUUGACAUUCAUUUUAGUUUGAUGGAGGAUAUUAAAGUGUAACUUUUAUUUUUCUGGCCGUUAACAUUUUAUAACUCCCAAGCCUAUUUUACUGUUGUAAUUAGCUAUUUAAGUAGGUUGGUAUCUCAUAUUGUGUAUGUGGAAUACUUUCAUAUUUUAUAAUGAAAAAUCAAAUGUAAUGCAUUUUUCUGCCA
Lathyrus oleraceus (garden pea) is the source of this 1485-nucleotide long non-coding RNA. RefSeq lists it as uncharacterized. The record is from RefSeq and is a predicted model, not a curated record. The transcript has 2 exons. NCBI's taxonomy places the organism in Eukaryota, Viridiplantae, Streptophyta, Magnoliopsida, Fabales, Fabaceae.